GACGAACGCUGGCGGCGUGCUUAACACAUGCAAGUCGAACGGAAAGGCCCUGCUUGCAGGGUACUCGAGUGGCGAACGGGUGAGUAACACUUGGGUGAUCUGCCCUGCACUUCGGGAUAAGCCUGGGAAACUGGGUCUAAUACCGGAUAGGAGCCAUUUUUAGUGUGAUGGUUGGAAAGUUUUUUCGGUGUAGGAUGAGCUCGCGGCCUAUCAGCUUGUUGGUGGGGUAAUGGCCUACCAAGGCGGCGACGGGUAGCCGGCCUGAGAGGGUGGACGGCCACAUUGGGACUGAGAUACGGCCCAGACUCCUACGGGAGGCAGCAGUGGGGAAUAUUGCACAAUGGGCGCAAGCCUGAUGCAGCGACGCCACGUGGGGGAUGACGGCCUUCGGGUUGUAAACUCCUUUCGCUAGGGACGAAGCUUUUGUGACGGUACCUAGAUAAGAAGCACCGGCUAACUACGUG
This 464-nucleotide ribosomal RNA is filed under the name uncultured bacterium. RNAcentral describes it as "partial 16S ribosomal RNA". It matches the Rfam family "Bacterial small subunit ribosomal RNA", at positions 28 to 507 of the family's 1533-position model. The record is from RNAcentral.